RNAcentral lists this long non-coding RNA (326 nucleotides) under Vigna radiata. Its description in RNAcentral is "long non-coding RNA (VRAD_LNC004591)". The record is from RNAcentral. Lineage: Eukaryota; Viridiplantae; Streptophyta; Magnoliopsida; Fabales; Fabaceae.
AGUGGAAAAAAGAUUUUAUAAAGGUUUAUUAUAACAUGUGAAAUCUAUUUGUCAUAAUAAGUUGAUCGAUGACAUUUUCGUAAUAAAAUUAUGAAUUAUUAUGAUCUAGUUUAGGAGACUUCUCAUAAUAUGUCAACAUAAUGACAAAAUUGGAAUUAUAUUUUAAAUGUAUUAUGACAGGUGACAAACUCAAAAUUAUAUUCAAAAAGUAUUAUGAUUGAUGGUAAAACAAUUGUCAUGGCAGCUCUUAAUUCCUAAUUCCCUUCCCUUCGUUCACGCGUUCUCUAUAAAACUACUCUUCACUCUUCUAAAUCCUUAAUUUAUUU